This 405-nucleotide ribosomal RNA is filed under the name uncultured prokaryote. Its description in RNAcentral is "bacterial SSU rRNA". It matches the Rfam family "Bacterial small subunit ribosomal RNA", at positions 355 to 776 of the family's 1533-position model. RNAcentral also lists the same sequence under 1 other name. The record is from RNAcentral.
UAAGGGAUAUUGCACAAUGGGGGAAACCCUGAUGCAGCAACGCCGCGUGGGUGAAGAAGGCUUUCGAGUCGUAAAACCCUUUUCUAGGGGAAGAGGAAGGACAGUACCCUAGGAACAAGUCUCGGCUAACUACGUGCCAGCAGCCGCGGUAAGACGUAGGAGGCGAGCGUUAUCCGGAUUCAUUGGGCGUAAAGGGCAAGUAGGCGGUUGUCAAAGUUGGGCGUGACAUCUCCUGGCUUAACUAGGAGGGGUCGUUCAAAACUAGGCGACUAGAGGGCAGAAGAGGAAAGCGGAACUACUGAUGUAGCGGUGGAAUGCUCAGAUAUCAGGAAGAACACCAGUGGCGAAGGCGGCUUUCUGGUCUGCACCUGACGCUGAGAGGCGAAGGCCAGGGUAGCGAACGGG